RNAcentral lists this ribosomal RNA (266 nucleotides) under uncultured prokaryote. Its description in RNAcentral is "partial 16S ribosomal RNA". It matches the Rfam family "Bacterial small subunit ribosomal RNA", at positions 524 to 788 of the family's 1533-position model. The record is from RNAcentral.
UACGGAGGAUCCGAGCGUUAUCCGGAUUUAUUGGGUUUAAAGGGUGCGCAGGCGGGAGAUUAAGUCGGCGGUGAAAUUUUGCAGCUCAACUGUAAAAGUGCCUUCGAAACUGGUUUCCUUGAGUGUAGAUGAAGUAGGCGGAAUUUGUGGUGUAGCGGUGAAAUGCAUAGAUAUUACACAGAACACCGAUUGCGAAGGCAGCUUACUAAUCCAUCAUUGACGCUGAGGCACGAAAGCGUGGGGAUCAAACAGGAUUAGAUACCCCU